UACGUAGGGACCAAGCGUUGUUCGGAUUUACUGGGCGUAAAGGGCGCGUAGGCGGCGCGGUAAGUCACUUGUGAAAUCUCUGAGCUUAACUCAGAACGGCCAAGUGAUACUGCAGUGCUAGAGUGUGGAAGGGGCAAUCGGAAUUCUUGGUGUAGCGGUGAAAUGCGUAGAUAUCAGGAGGAACACCGGUGGCGAAGGCGGGUCUCUGGGCCGUAACUGACGCUGAGGAGCGAAAGCAUGGGGAGCGAACAGG
This 253-nucleotide ribosomal RNA is filed under the name uncultured bacterium. Its description in RNAcentral is "partial 16S ribosomal RNA". It matches the Rfam family "Bacterial small subunit ribosomal RNA", at positions 524 to 776 of the family's 1533-position model. The record is from RNAcentral.